RNAcentral lists this transfer RNA (76 nucleotides) under Danaus plexippus plexippus. It matches the Rfam family "tRNA". From Rfam's summary of the family: Transfer RNA (tRNA) molecules are approximately 80 nucleotides in length. Their secondary structure includes four short double-helical elements and three loops (D, anti-codon, and T loops). Lineage: Eukaryota; Metazoa; Arthropoda; Insecta; Lepidoptera; Nymphalidae. The record is from Rfam by way of RNAcentral.
GACGCGAUAGCUUAGUUGAUAAAGCGACUGCUUCUCUAUGAUACGGAGGUCCCAGGUUCGUAUCCUGCUCGUGUCA